This is a non-coding RNA of Roridomyces roridus, 90 nucleotides long. The record is from the annotation of a GenBank genome assembly. Lineage: Eukaryota; Fungi; Basidiomycota; Agaricomycetes; Agaricales; Mycenaceae.
GGGUAAAUAGUGUAGUUGGUUAUCGCGCCCGCUUCGCAUUUGAAUCACGUGACGUGCGGGAGGUGCUGGGUUCAAUUCCCAGUUUAUCCA